GGGAAUGUGGCUCAGUGGUAGAGAGCUUGCCUUGGGUGCAGAAGGCCCUGGGUUCAAUCCCCAGUGCUGCAA
This 72-nucleotide transfer RNA is filed under the name Fukomys damarensis (Damara mole-rat). It matches the Rfam family "tRNA". From Rfam's summary of the family: Transfer RNA (tRNA) molecules are approximately 80 nucleotides in length. Their secondary structure includes four short double-helical elements and three loops (D, anti-codon, and T loops). Lineage: Eukaryota; Metazoa; Chordata; Mammalia; Rodentia; Bathyergidae. The record is from Rfam by way of RNAcentral.